AAUGGAGGCGCAAGGUUUCAAUCAAUACCAAGUCAAUAAAACAAAGGGAGUGUCAGAAGAAGAAAGCCAUCCAGUAGUAGACCUGAGCAAGCACCCUUCUGGAAUUGUCCCUACUCUCCAGAAUAUUGUCUCCACAGUCGAUCUGGAUUGCAAAUUGGAUAGCCAUUGCAUUGAAAGCUCGUAAUUCUGAAUACAACCCAAUGGCAUGUGAUGUUUUGAGCAUAGCUUCUCCCGCUCCCUUUCUCCUCUAUUUUUCUACCUUUCUUUUGUUUAAGAGCUAUAAUGUUUUUUAUACUGUGGAUCCAAGCCUUUGUUUAACGAGUACAUUAAAGCAUCUGGUAAAAUGGUAAGUAUCAAUUUCCAACCAAGGAUCUUCUUCCCUACCUUUUCUGUUUUUCAUUGACUUCCACAAAUUUCUGCAUCUUAUGCUUUGAUUUGUAAUCAUUCAAAUGAUUAAUAGACGAGGGUUUGUUUUAUGGUCUCCUCUCCUUCUCCCUCUCUAGCCUCUUGUAAUAGGUAAAAAUUGUGUAAUGAUUUCCAAUAUAAUUAAAACCUCUCGUCUGUUUCUUAUAUCCUUAGCUGUGGCAGCAUUGGUAGUUGAUAAAUUUUAUCCCUUUUUGCGAUUUUACACAUCUCUCUUCCUUUUUCAAAUCAUGCUAAUUAGUCCUUCAUAAUCAUGUUAAUGCUGGCUCGUUAUUGUUGUGGUAUAGGUUUGUAUGGGAGCUAAGAGUGAAGAACAAUCGAGAUUGGCAGCACGAAAGUAUGAACCAGAAAUUUUUCUAGGCUUGAUAUAUCGAAUGAAACAACCGAAGAUUGUGCUUCUCAUCUUUGUGUCUGGAAAAAUUGUCCUAACUGGAGCGAAGGCAAGAACCGAGACGUAUGAAGCCUUUGAGAACAUUUACCCAGUUCUUACAGGAUUCAGGAAAAAUCAGCAUUGAUUGUUUCUGGGUAAGCACAAGAGUCAUGUUCGUGGGGCGGAAUAGUGCGGCAUUUGGGCGAAUUGCCUGGGUUGAAUUGUAGAUAAGAAGACUGCAUUGUGGUGCAUUGUGGGAGUAAACGAUGAAGAGAAAUUUAGACUCUUGUUCUGUCUUUUGUUUAGUCUAAUAAUGUGAUGUGACCUUGAACAAAAUGCAAAGCGAACAAAUAGUUUUUAACACAAA
This is an RNA transcript of Pyrus x bretschneideri (Chinese white pear), 1160 nucleotides long. It is a transcript of the gene named TATA-box-binding protein-like, with no coding region annotated. The record is from RefSeq and is a predicted model, not a curated record. NCBI's taxonomy places the organism in Eukaryota, Viridiplantae, Streptophyta, Magnoliopsida, Rosales, Rosaceae. The transcript has 5 exons.